GUUAAGGGUACAUCAAUAUCCCGUGUCCAUAAAUUUAGAGGUGACUGGAGAACUCUCACAUAAGCGGCCACCUCACUUCACUGGCUGGAUCAUGGGGCAGCUCUUUCCCAAGCCCGGCGAGUGCCUGCAUGCAAGAAGGCGGGAUUCCUUCUGCCAGCAGUUAGCAUGGCACCUGCUGUGUAAGCAUCUUAAACAUGUGCCUAGAUGCGGGAGGCCAGAUGCGCAAGAUGGACACUCGGCUCCUCCUUCGUCCCCGCCUCUCCUCGCUUCCAGGGUAGCAGCCUCAACAAGGGAAACUAUUGUUCCAGUGGAGGCUGCGAGGAUGUCGGUGAUUUACGCGCCGAGCUGUAGCUGCAAAAGGACAAGGGCAAGUGCCGGCCCGACCUAGGUGCACCCUGCCCGCUUGUGGUGGCCUCAGGGGUAAGAAAUCAGGACCCACCCAGUGAGAGAAAUAACCCAAGCUGUCAGCAACGCGGAAAGAAAUGGGCUAGCAACCUCUUAAAGCAUCCUCACGUACUGCGGCGAUGACUCUGUGCACAGACCAAGGAAGGAGAGAGGCCGCGGAAGUCAGGUAAAGUACUUCCUUGGUGGUCAG
RNAcentral lists this long non-coding RNA (595 nucleotides) under Homo sapiens (human). RNAcentral describes it as "non-protein coding TTTY14:13". Lineage: Eukaryota; Metazoa; Chordata; Mammalia; Primates; Hominidae. The record is from RNAcentral.